Molecule: ribosomal RNA, 465 nt
Filed under: uncultured bacterium
Lineage: Bacteria
Description: partial 16S ribosomal RNA
Rfam family: Bacterial small subunit ribosomal RNA
Source: RNAcentral
CUACGGGGGGCAGCAGUGGGGAAUAUUGGACAAUGGGGGAAACCCUGAUCCAGCAAUGCCGCGUGUGUGAAGAAGGCCUGCGGGUUGUAAAGCACUUUCGGUUGGGAGGACUGCUUCUAGCACUAAUAUUGUUGGAAGUUGACGUUACCUUCAGAAGAAGCACCGGCUAACUCCGUGCCAGCAGCCGCGGUAAUACGGAGGGUGCAAGCGUUAAUCGGAAUUACUGGGCGUAAAGCGCGCGUAGGCGGCUAGAUCAGUCGGGUGUGAAAGCCCCGGGCUGAACCUGGGAACUGCAUCCGAUACUGUCUAGCUUGAGUACAGGAGAGGAGAGUGGAAUUCCACAUGUAGCGGUGAAAUGCGUAGAUAUGUGGAGGAACACCAAUGGCGAAGGCAGCUCUCUGGCCUGAUACUGACGCUGAGGUGCGGAAGCGUGGGGAGCAAACAGGAUUAGAUACCCGGGUAGUC